AAGGGCCCAGAGUCCAGGUCUGUCAAAAUCCUUCUGUAUCUUAAGCCUAUCUUCUGGAGUGUUGGCUAUUCUUGCCAGCUUGGUGUCAUCUGCAAAUUUGAUGAAAUCUCCAUCUAUCCCCUCAUUCAAAUCAUUGAAGAAUAUAUUG
Non-coding RNA from Pseudonaja textilis, 148 nucleotides. The record is from RefSeq and is a predicted model, not a curated record. Lineage: Eukaryota; Metazoa; Chordata; Lepidosauria; Squamata; Elapidae.